RNAcentral lists this ribosomal RNA (599 nucleotides) under uncultured eukaryote. RNAcentral describes it as "bacterial SSU rRNA". It matches the Rfam family "Eukaryotic small subunit ribosomal RNA", at positions 49 to 565 of the family's 1831-position model. The record is from RNAcentral.
CCAUGCANGUCUCAGCGCAAAUGGUUCAACAAUGGGUCUGUGAAUGGCUCCUUACAUCAGCAGUCAUCCAAGUGAUAAAGUGUGGCUAGCGCACAUGCCAAGUGCUCAUUGGACAUCCUCCAAAACCUGGUGGCUAAUACACGGAAGAUCAGGUCUGCCACGUCACGUUUGUCGGCAUUCAUGCAGCCUCACGGCGGUGGAUUGCGCCCAGCUGUUUGGAAGACCAGCGCCUGGGAAAGGCAGUGUGUCAUGGCUGAAUCAGGCUGGUCCCAUCGGGACAGUCGCGCUGGCAGAGUGAAGGCUUCGGCCUACAUUGCUUGAUCACAGGAACUUCUGACCUAUCAGCUUUGAUUGUGGUGUAGUGGACCACGAUGGCAUUGACGGGUAACGGAGAAUUUGGGUUCGAUUCCGGAGAGGGAGCCUGAGAGACGGCUACCACUACCAAGGUGGGCAGCAGGCGCGCAAAUUGCCCAAUGCAAAAACAUCUUUGUGAGGCAGCGACGAACCGCAACAAUCCUGUUGGAUUCAUUAACCAGCAGGACUUGUAAUGGAUGCUAUCCAAAAACAGUCAUGAGUAUCAACUGGAGGGCAAGUCUGGU